Clupea harengus (Atlantic herring) is the source of this 2264-nucleotide long non-coding RNA. NCBI's taxonomy places the organism in Eukaryota, Metazoa, Chordata, Actinopteri, Clupeiformes, Clupeidae. The record is from Ensembl.
UUACAAUUUUAUGUAACUAAAAUUCGACAAAGCAAUUAUCUUUACAGCGGGUUUACUGUGUGCAUGGGUCAUAAGGUCUGGGUUGGCUGAUGUGCCUUCUUUAACAUUGUACAUUUCCUUCAUUUUUAUCAGCCUAUUUCACAUGACAAAAACAGAAUAUACUGAUAUCUAACCACCUGAAACCAGCAUCGUUUGCCGAGAUACUCGCUAGUUCUCGAUUUCUCUUGAAAGAGGAUGUCUGUUUGCCAUUCUAGUUUAACAGGACGUGAAGAAAGCUGUUAACAGCGUAGCCUGCUGUCUGUGCCGGCCAGAAAAGAGAACUCGUGAUGGCUGCUUCUGGCCUCAUCAAAAGCAACACUGCUGACUCGUCACUCUAGAAGAACCCAAAGAUGAGAAGUGCUGGAGACCGGAGAAGAUUGAGAAGCUCAUUGCACGGCUACAGUGGGAGUUGGUACGGCCAAAGGCUUAUAUUUCCAAGAGUCUGGAUGAGGCUAACCAAGGUGUUCCCCACCUGAGCUGUCGAGGGAGCACCAGGUUGCCAGUGCCACCGCCAUGGACACCAUUUUGCUGGUCUGCCUGGGAACCCUGCUUGGGAACGGUGGGCCAAAACCACGGGGUUGGAGAUUCACCAUGGUCUACCUCACCACGCUCACUGGAGAGCGUGCCCAAGAUGUGGGGGAGAAGAUCACUGCAGAGGUGAGAGGAUGGAGGAAGAGGAAUUGAAAUUGCUCUGAAAAAGACUAAAAUAUACCUCUCGGACACGGGUGUGUUAUUAUGACUCGACAUGCGUAUCUACAGAGGAGAAAGGCCAGGAUGUGCCCCCCUCCGAGACGUGAAGGAAACAUGUGACAUCAGUCUGCACUGAUGGCUGGAAGGCAAGAGGCAGUGCUCAUGAUGUCGGAUACGCCCCAGAUUCCUGGAACUCAAGUGAGAUGGGUACAACUCUCAGGACCUUGUAGCAUUAUCUCUCAGAGAUUGACUUAACCACUGCACAAAUGGGAUCGUGGCUCCACUGAGGACGUCAGUUUAGACACAUGAUGAUCUCAUGAACAUAAGGGCUAAUAUAGCUUCAGGGGACUAAGGAUAGUGAUAGUGGCUUGUCUCUGUGUGUGUUAGCUCAAGAGGGUGGGCCAGUGGAGUGAGAAGGGACAAGGGUUAAUGAUUUAUCCACAAUGGUGAGGGUAUCAUGUCAAAUUUGUUUGGCCAUUUAAUUCUCACUCACUGAGAACAGUAGUCUCCAUUGAGUUGUGUUGUGAGAGUUUGAUGACAAAUGGAUCUGGUCACAGUUGGAAGACUGCCUUGCCUACAUGUUGAAUACUUAAUGUGCUAACAUGAUCCUGACACUGGUAACAUGAAGCUAUGAGUCUGUCACGAGUUUACAUCUAGAGUGUCAGAAAAACACUUGAGGCUUUCCUCUUGAGAAAACCCUGCUGAAUUGUGGUAGUUUCUUGAUUUUCCUUGAUAAUAAUACUAUAUAUAUAGGUCAUGGCAGUAGUACAAAAAAGUGAAGUUACAAUUUUUUUUUAUCAAAGUUUACAUGGAAAAAUUGCUAGUAAUAUUGCUAGUUUGCCAUUGUAGAUGAAAUGGGCUUUAGUAGUUCUGCAUAUAGAAACAGAUGCCUGUAACUGUACAAUCCUUCCAUAGAAGGCUGAAAGAGAUGUAUUCCAAGUCUAAAGAACAAGCAAGAUAGAUAAAAGGAAUUAUUCCAAUACAAUGGAGAUACCAAGUAGAGUAAAGAUAUCUUGCAUUUGUUCCAUGUCCAGGAAUGUUAUAGUUUCUUGGCCUCGUUUAGCCUCCAUGUCAACUUUACCCAGACAGUAGAGUUGCAUCUUCCAGGAAAAUCUUUCCAGAAUAGACUAAACAUUUUCACUAAGGGUGGCCGAUGAGCUUACUAUGAGGAUGAUUGUUGUGAGACAAAGAUAAAAGAAACUGUUCCUGAAACUGUGUGCCUACGCAAAACCUUACAGCAAUCACAUUAUUUUGUUAAAAUGUAAUUUAAAAACAUUUUGUUCCUCUAGUAAAAGAUAUGAUAUCUGGAUUGCUAUUCUGUCUGACGCAAUAAGAGUUCAUGUGUACAAAUGCCUCCUGCCUGAUUGUCCCUCUCCUUCACAUUAUACAAUCUGUUCUUCUAAUCACUAUCGUUGGGACUUUAAUCCAUUCAUUCCAUUCAGAACAUGCUCACAAACAAUAUCUUGACAACAAUAUAAUAUUAGCCUGUGGUCACAACAUGCUCUGCAUUAAUUCCUGAGUUUAUUGGCCCAGCC